This 619-nucleotide ribosomal RNA is filed under the name uncultured bacterium. RNAcentral's name for it is "bacterial SSU rRNA". The stretch from base 1 to 518 matches the Rfam family "Bacterial small subunit ribosomal RNA", at positions 338 to 873 of the family's 1533-position model. The record is from RNAcentral.
CCUACGGGAGGCAGCAGUGGGGAAUCUUGCGCAAUGGGCGAAAGCCUGACGCAGCAACGCCGCGUGCGGGAUGAAGGCCUUCGGGUUGUAAACCGCUUUCAGCAGGGAAGAAAUUGACGGUACCUGCAGAAGAAGCCCCGGCCAACUACGUGCCAGCAGCCGCGGUAACACGUAGGGGGCGAGCGUUGUCCGGAUUUAUUGGGCGUAAAGAGCUCGUAGGCGGUUCGGUAAGUCGGGUGUGAAACCUCCAGGCUCAACCUGGAGACGCCACCUGAAACUGCUGUGACUAGAGUCCGGUAGGGGAGUGUGGAACUCCUGGUGUAGCGGUGAAAUGCGCAGAUAUCAGGAAGAACACCAGCGGCGAAGGCGGCACUCUGGGCCGGUACUGACGCUGAGGAGCGAAAGCGUGGGUAGCAAACAGGAUUAGAUACCCUGGUAGUCCACGCCGUAAACGUUGGGCACUAGGUGUGGGUCUCAACCAACGAGAUCCGUGCCGCNGCUACGCAUAGUCGCCCGCCGUCGGGAGGUACGGCCGCGACGGACGUAAACCGUACGAAACGUAGAAGUUAGUAACGGUCGUGUUAGACGUAGACCGAACGGACGACGACGAGGGAGGAGG